UACGUAGGGUGCGAGCGUUAAUCGGAAUUACUGGGCGUAAAGCGUGCGCAGGCGGUUCGUUGUGUCGGCGGUGAAAGCCCCGUGCUCAACGCGGGAGGGUCAUGGCAAACCGGCGGCUUGAGGCCGGUAGAGGUGGGUGGAACUCCUGGUGGAGUGGUGAAAUGCGUAGAGAUCAGGAAGAACACCCGUGGCGAAGCGGCCCACUGGGCCGGACCUGACGCUGAGGCGCGAAAGCUAGGGGGAGCGAACUGG
Molecule: ribosomal RNA, 252 nt
Filed under: uncultured bacterium
Lineage: Bacteria
Description: partial 16S ribosomal RNA
Rfam family: Bacterial small subunit ribosomal RNA
Source: RNAcentral